AGCGGAUCUUCAAGAGCAAAGACCGGAGAACAGUAAGAGCUGAUUUGUCUCAAUUAGGCUUUUGACGGAGCGGAGAAAGAUCUUAUUUUAAUUUAGGGGAUUCCUCUAUAAAGAAUAAGGGAGAAGAUCUACAACCUAGCAAACUAACCUCCUUCUUACUAGCAUUUUUCCAGGUCCUCUCGAACCAGCAUCAUCCAACCUGGUGCUCUCACUUCUCGGACUAGUACAGGUCCAAGCCAAAGCCAAAGCUCCCAAAGUCUAA
This 262-nucleotide long non-coding RNA is filed under the name Nicotiana benthamiana. RNAcentral describes it as "long non-coding RNA (NBEN_LNC027324)". The record is from RNAcentral. Lineage: Eukaryota; Viridiplantae; Streptophyta; Magnoliopsida; Solanales; Solanaceae.